AUACGUAGGUGACAAGCGUUAUCCGGAUUUACUGGGCGUAAAGGGCGUGUAGGCGGUCUUGCAAGUCAGAAGUGAAAUUCCUGAGCUCAACUCGGGCGCUGCUUCUGAAACUGCAGGACUUGAGUGCUGGAGGGGAUAGCGGAAUUCCUAGUGGAGCGGUAAAAUGCGCAGAUAUUAGGAAGAACACCGGUGGCGAAGGCGGCUAUCUGGACAGUAACUGACGCUGAGGCGCAAAAGCGUGGGGAGCAAACAGGAUUAGAUACCCUGGUAGUCCACGCUGUAAACGAUGAAUACUAGGUGUAGGGGGUAUCGACUCCCUCUGUGCCGCAGUUAACACAAUAAGUAUUCCGCCUGGGGAGUACGGCCGCAAGGUUGAAACUCAAAUGAAUUGACGGGG
This 397-nucleotide ribosomal RNA is filed under the name uncultured bacterium. RNAcentral describes it as "partial 16S ribosomal RNA". It matches the Rfam family "Bacterial small subunit ribosomal RNA", at positions 523 to 918 of the family's 1533-position model. The record is from RNAcentral.